This 275-nucleotide ribosomal RNA is filed under the name uncultured bacterium. RNAcentral's name for it is "partial 16S ribosomal RNA". It matches the Rfam family "Bacterial small subunit ribosomal RNA", at positions 523 to 796 of the family's 1533-position model. The record is from RNAcentral.
AUACGAGGGGAGCUAGUGUUGUUCGGAUUUACUGGGCGUAAAGAGAACGUAGGCGGACAUCUAAGUCAGAUAGUGAAAUUUCGGGGCUCAACCCUGAACCUGCUUUUGAAACUGGUUGUCUUGAAUAUAAAAGAGGAUGAUAGAAUUUCUGGUGUAGCGGUGGAAUGCGUAGAUAUCAGAAGGAAUACCAAUAGCGAAGGCAGUCAUCUGGGUUAAUAUUGACGCUGAGGUUCGAAAGCGUGGGGAGCAAACAGGAUUAGAUACCCCAGUAGUCC